AAAAAAGUUACCAAGGGGACUGAGAACUCCAUGGAAAUAAUGUGAAAGUUAAGUCCUGCUAAGUUUUCUCACAGUAGAGGCAGAUGGAAAAGGUGGCUGGUGAAUGAGACCCAUGUCUGAUUUAGGUCGAGCAUGCCCGAUGGAGGCUCCACCUUCCACGACCAGCCUCUGACCAAGGCCUAGGAACAGGAAACCUCCUGUCUGAGGUUGGGAGAGGAAGGGAGAUGAGAACAGUUUGAAAUAAAUCCUGUGGAGACUUUCUACAAGCAGCUAUCAUAUGAGGGAAAAGGAUGCAAGACGCAGUCAUUGCUUUUCACUUUGGAGGGAAGAUCCAGGCACGCCCCUGACCACUGGACCCCUAAUACUUUACCGAGGUGGCAGGUCCCUGACUCACAGGGUUUAUCUCCCACCCUCUGGAGCACAUGCUUCGAGGCCAGGCCUCCAGUGUACUAGCUACCUCUUCCUUGCCCUCCUCAAUCAGCAUGGUGGCAUCGAUGGAGUGGAUGGAUGGGAUGGUCUGUGGGAUAUCUAGAUCUCUUUGGAUCUCACUGUGACUGAGGGUGGGAGAGUUAAUAGAAGCCUCGAGGAAAACUCAAUAAUGCUACGCCCAGCACAGCACCUGAGAUUGGAACAACGACUUGGCUUAGCUUGCAGUAGUCUACAGUCAUUUUCCUGGAUCCGGCCAAUUUCUACAACGCUCAGACUGGUAA
Molecule: long non-coding RNA, 710 nt
Filed under: Equus caballus (horse)
Lineage: Eukaryota; Metazoa; Chordata; Mammalia; Perissodactyla; Equidae
Description: lncRNA (ENSECAG00000057898.1)
Source: RNAcentral